This 325-nucleotide long non-coding RNA is filed under the name Rattus norvegicus (Norway rat). Its description in RNAcentral is "long non-coding RNA NONRATT007782". The record is from RNAcentral. Lineage: Eukaryota; Metazoa; Chordata; Mammalia; Rodentia; Muridae.
GCGACUCUUCAAAUUCAGUUGCUUAAUGCAUCUGUGCCCAGCAAGGCACACUUUCUCUGCUCCCUGCUUCCGGCAAAGUUCCUACGAACCUGCUGUGACCACGUAUCUCCUCUGUGUCUGCCUUCCCCUGGGAUGGUUGUAUGCUGCUGGUGAUAGCUUGGCCUGCAGGCUCGCUCUUCCAGCUUCCCCGCCUCUGGAAGGUCUCUCGGCUUCCACCCUUGGCCCAGCGUGCUUGUCUGUUUUCAAACCAUAUUGCGCAUCCACAGUUCCCAGAAAAUUACUUGUCAUUCUUGCUUAUCACCUAAAAUAAUAACCGUUUUCCCCC